AGAGUUUGAUCCUGGCUCAGAUUGAACGCUGGCGGCAUGCCUUACACAUGCAAGUCGAACGGUAACAGCACUUCGGUGGCUGACGAGUGGCGAACGGGUGAGUAAUACAUCGGAACGUGCCCGAGAGUGGGGGAUAACGCAGCGAAAGCUGUGCUAAUACCGCAUACGAUCUACGGAUGAAAGCAGGGGACCGCAAGGCCUUGCGCUCACGGAGCGGCCGAUGGCAGAUUAGGUAGUUGGUGGGAUAAAAGCUUACCAAGCCGACGAUCUGUAGCUGGUCUGAGAGGACGACCAGCCACACUGGGACUGAGACACGGCCCAGACUCCUACGGGAGGCAGCAGUGGGGAAUUUUGGACAAUGGGCGAAAGCCUGAUCCAGCCAUGCCGCGUGCAGGAUGAAGGCCCUCGGG
RNAcentral lists this ribosomal RNA (410 nucleotides) under uncultured bacterium. RNAcentral's name for it is "bacterial SSU rRNA". It matches the Rfam family "Bacterial small subunit ribosomal RNA", at positions 8 to 422 of the family's 1533-position model. The record is from RNAcentral.